GGGGAAUCUUGGACAAUGGGCGCAAGCCUGAUCCAGCCAUGCCGCGUGAGUGAAGAAGGCCUUAGGGUUGUAAAGCUCUUUUGGCAGGGACGAUAAUGACGGUACCCGCAGAAUAAGCCCCGGCAAACUUCGUGCCAGCAGCCGCGGUAAUACGAAGGGGGCUAGCGUUGUUCGGAUUUACUGGGCGUAGAGCGCACGUAGGCGGAUUGUUAAGUCAGGGGUGAAAUCCCGGAGCUCAACUCCGGAACUGCCUUUGAUACUGGCAAUCUUGAGGCUGGAAGAGGUUGGUAGAAUUCCCAGUGUAGAGGUGAAAUUCGUAGAUAUUGGGAAGAAUACCAGUGGCGAAGGCGGCCAACUGGUCCAGAUCUGACGCUGAGGUGCGAAAGCGUGGGGAGCAAACA
RNAcentral lists this ribosomal RNA (401 nucleotides) under uncultured bacterium. RNAcentral's name for it is "bacterial SSU rRNA". It matches the Rfam family "Bacterial small subunit ribosomal RNA", at positions 356 to 774 of the family's 1533-position model. The record is from RNAcentral.